This 587-nucleotide long non-coding RNA is filed under the name Olea europaea subsp. europaea. The record is from RNAcentral. Lineage: Eukaryota; Viridiplantae; Streptophyta; Magnoliopsida; Lamiales; Oleaceae.
AUAAUAACCUGCUAGCCCAAGGAAACUCCAUACUUCUGUAACAUUAGUAGGGCGUUCCCAUCUCAUAACUGCCUCAAUUUUCUGAGGAUCUACAUAAAUGCCUUCUGCUGAGAUGACAUGACCCAGAAACACAACUUUAUCCAACCAAAAUUCACAUUUGCUGAACUUAGCAUACAACUCCUUAUCUCGCAAAGUCUGCAAAAUAAUCCUCAAAUGCUCAGCAUGCUCAUCUCUACUGCGAGAGUAAACUAAGAUAUCAUCAAUAAAAACAAUCACAAACUUAUCUAAAUAUGAGUGAAGCACCCUAUUCAUCAAAUCCAUAAAUGCAGCUGGGGCAUUAGUUAAUCCAAACGGCAUCACCAAAAAUUCAUAAUGACCAUACUGAGACCGAAAAGCAGUCUUUGGUACAUCAACAUCUCUAAUUUUGAGCUGAUGAUAACCUGAACGUAAAUCGAUCUUUGAAAAUACUGAGGCACCUCUAAGUUGGUCAAACAAAUCAUCAAUGCGAGGCAACGGAUACUUGUUGCGGACUGUCACUUUAUUCAACUGUCUGUAGUCAAUACAUAAUCUCAUUGUGCCAUCUUUCU